This 440-nucleotide ribosomal RNA is filed under the name uncultured bacterium. RNAcentral describes it as "bacterial SSU rRNA". It matches the Rfam family "Bacterial small subunit ribosomal RNA", at positions 338 to 769 of the family's 1533-position model. The record is from RNAcentral.
CCUACGGGAGGCAGCAGUGGGGAAUAUUGGACAAUGGGGGGAACCCUGAUCCAGCCAUGCCGCGUGUGUGAAGAAGGCCUUAUGGUUGUAAAGCACUUUAAGCGAGGAGGAGGCUCUUUUGGUUAAUACCCAAGAUGAGUGGACGUUACUCGCAGAAUAAGCACCGGCUAACUCUGUGCCAGCAGCCGCGGUAAUACAGAGGGUGCGAGCGUUAAUCGGAUUUACUGGGCGUAAAGCGUGCGUAGGCGGCUUUUUAAGUCGGAUGUGAAAUCCCCGAGCUUAACUUGGGAAUUGCAUUCGAUACUGGGAAGCUAGAGUAUGGGAGAGGAUGGUAGAAUUCCAGGUGUAGCGGUGAAAUGCGUAGAGAUCUGGAGGAAUACCGAUGGCGAAGGCAGCCAUCUGGCCUAAUACUGACGCUGAGGUACGAAAGCAUGGGGAGC